UGGGGAAUUUUGGACAAUGGGCGAAAGCCUGAUCCAGCAAUGCCGCGUGUGUGAAGAAGGCCUUCGGGUUGUAAAGCACUUUUGUCCGGAAAGAAAUCCUUGGCUCUAAUACAGUCGGGGGAUGACGGUACCGGAAGAAUAAGCACCGGCUAACUACGUGCCAGCAGCCGCGGUAAUACGUAGGGUGCAAGCGUUAAUCGGAAUUACUGGGCGUAAAGCGUGCGCAGGCGGUUUGCUAAGACCGAUGUGAAAUCCCCGGGCUCAACCUGGGAACUGCAUUGGUGACUGGCAGGCUAGAGUAUGGCAGAGGGGGGUAGAAUUCCACGUGUAGCAGUGAAAAUGCGUAGAGAUGUGGAGGAAUACCGAUGGCGAAAGGCAGCCCCCUGGGCCAAAUACUGACGCUCAUGCACGAAAAGCGUGGGGAGCAAAACAGGAUUAGAUACCCUGGUAGUCCACGCCCUAAAACGAUGUCAACUAGUUGUUGGGGAUUCAUUUCCUUAGUAACGUAGCU
Molecule: ribosomal RNA, 511 nt
Filed under: uncultured bacterium
Lineage: Bacteria
Description: partial 16S ribosomal RNA
Rfam family: Bacterial small subunit ribosomal RNA
Source: RNAcentral